This is a non-coding RNA of Epinephelus lanceolatus (giant grouper), 262 nucleotides long. The record is from RefSeq and is a predicted model, not a curated record. Lineage: Eukaryota; Metazoa; Chordata; Actinopteri; Perciformes; Serranidae.
UGUUUGGCGUGCAGCAUUUGUUUGGUGCAGCCGUCCCGUGUUUGUGACCGCCGUCGAGGCACACAAAUCUUCUCUACCCCGCGCAGCUGACUGCUUGGUCCGGGGGAGGCGGGAGUGGCUCGCUGGAGCCUCGCUGUGUUCAGCUACUGGUCCGCUCUGGCCGUGUGUGUUUAAAGCUGCGUCCUGUGAGGCUCGCAUUCGCUGGUUGUUUAUGGUCGCUGUGCAUGCCUGGCACCCCUGGUAUGUAUUAAUUUGGUUUCUU